Long non-coding RNA from Photinus pyralis (common eastern firefly), 473 nucleotides. RefSeq lists it as uncharacterized. The transcript has 2 exons. The record is from RefSeq and is a predicted model, not a curated record. Lineage: Eukaryota; Metazoa; Arthropoda; Insecta; Coleoptera; Lampyridae.
CCUGCCUAACUUUUAUUUUGACGUAUCACUUGCAGAUUGGCUGGGGCAAGCGAUAGUACAAAACUUAUAAUUAAAAUCAGAUACAUCCGCGUAUAUGCCAUGUAGACUCGACGAUCUGGAAAACGGAUUCUCGGUUUCAUUGGAGAUUGAGAAAUACGCUUCAUUUUGAACAAAGCUUGAGGGAUCGUGCAAUUAUGUCAUGCAGUUCACGCCGGCGUGCACGUUUAUAUGCAGUUUGGAUUUGGAUCGCAAGCACAAAUACACCCACUUUAGGUUGACGCCUGUUACUACAAUUGAACUGCUCUCAAACCGACUUUGAAAAAAAUCUCUUGACAGCUUCAAAAUUUGCAUAUCAAUGAAAUUCUGCGUACUCUUAAUUUUAAUUAAAUCACCGAAAUAGCGUAAAUAUGUAAAUAGGCCACGAGAAAAUUAUAUCAGACCGGUUUAAAAUAAAUUAAAAAAGGUUACAGUUU